AAUAACAUAACUUGUUAUAAUCUCUGAUAUUCAGAAUAGGAUUCCAUCAGUUGCUUAUAGUGCCUUUGAAUCAAAUUAGAAUAUAGUAAAGGAAAUAUAUGUACAGUUUUCUACUUAGAAAGGAAACAUGAUUUAUUAUUCAGGUACAACAUACUAACCUUUACAAUGAACUGCAGAUCCCUUUUUUUCCUUUGUCUGGCAACAGAGGUAGCAUAUUGACGACAUAUGUAAACAUGGGUUUCUUGAAUGAAUAAGUGCCUUGGUGGCUUUAUGUUACAUAUAAGAUCUAUUAUUUUUUUUAGUACUGGUAUAUAUUAUCAGUGAUGCAAGAAAUGGAUUUACCCUGCGAAGAGCAAGAAUGGGCAUGGGAUCUGUGUCAUAUAGUGCCACUAUAAUAGUGGGACGAAAUCCUACAGAAUGAUGGGAAAAACAUCUGCUUGGCUGGGUUAAGGCAAAUUCUGAUGGAACUUUUCUGGUGGCAAACUCAAAGGGCGCGUUAGGAGUGGUCUUGAGAAAUGAAAGUGGCGAUUUCCUUGGGCCAGCUGCCCACUUCUACCCUUCAAUGUGUGAUGCUACAAUGGCAGAAGCGUUGGCGUGUCUUCAGGCAGUGCAGCUAGCGAGUGAAUUGGGUGUUUCAAAGGUAAUCCUUGAGACUGAUAGUCUAGAGGUUCAGAAGAUGGUGGCUGAUGAGGAAGUUAACAGAUCGAUGUAUGAGGCAAUAGUCCAAGGUUUUAAGCAUUGGCUAAGUUUGUUUCAAGAUUUUAGGAUCAAAUGGACCGUCGGUUGGCCAAUAUGGCUGCCCAUACUUUAGCCAAGGAAUGUUAUAUGCAAGCGAAUAUUUGUCGACCUGGUUCUUUGUCCCGCCAGAGUUUUUAAGGUCCUGAUUAGUUAAGGACUGUAAUCAAGUCAAUACUAUUGAAUGAAGUGCUAGUAGAUUCCCCUAAAAAAAGUUCAGUGGGAUGAAGUGUGUAGUAGUGUGGCAUGCUGCAUGCACACAAGAACUGGACAAAAGGAGAAGAAAAAUGAAAAGGAAAUGCAGCAUCAACCUACUGUAAGAGCCCUGCAAAAUCUUUAUCAAGUUUACUUCACCUUUGGAGUACUUAUUUUUAUUGGAUCAAUUUCAUACUAGGUCAGUAUAUUCUUGACUAGUCCAACUCUCCGAGGUAACAGGCACUUUCCACUCUCUGGAGCCAUUAUGAAUUUCCACAUUCUCAACUCACCAACAUGAGGUCAUUCUGUAUUAUGAAAGGAUAGCUUUCUCUAAUUUUGUGCGACAAAAAUAUUAUAUGAUAGAUGCUCUUCUAUGUAUAAUUAAUACAAGAAGUUCGAUCGUUUCAAACAUACAAAAUUGGAUAUUGUCAAUUGUAAAAAUUUUAAGAAAAUACAGCAACAGCAAGCUCAUUGCUGUUCAUCGUUUCUCCAGGCUGCACAUGCUGAGGAUGGAUGACUUUGCAGGGGUCCUUGCUGCAUUAAUUUGUCACAUAGUCCUCUCUUCCUUCCUCACCACUUGGAACGAUAAGGAGGAGACAUAUGAGUCCUUGCUGGACAUGACCUUGCUUUUAGCAUCUCUUAUAAUUCUACUCUACACUGCAUCUGUUAACUCAGAGAUUUCCAACCAUCAAGACUCCAACCUGUACUUUCGGUUGUGUACAUAGAAUUGACAUCCAGAAUUUGAUUCCAUCAGUUGGCUGUACUAUCUGUAAAUCAAAUUUGAAGAUAACAAAAGAAACAGGUUGUUUAUUACUUCACGAAAUGAGAAGGGUGGUUUCAUGUCAGCAUGGGCUUCUUUAAUGGACUUAGUCUUGGAUAAUUUUUGUUUCACUUGGGAUAUUUGUAAUGCUACCAAGAAGUGCAUUCAUUGUAAGCCAAGGGCAAGAGCGAAGCUACUUCAGUUUUGGUUCUGUGAAUACCAAGUAGAGGAGAAGCAGCACUAGACUAGUUCGCAAAUAUCCAUGCAUGCACCCUCAGACAAAAAGCAGUGCACAGAUCACGUGGGCUAUAGCCUCAUACAUUUUGCAUUAUGUACACUUGUAAUAUGAUAGGUCAUUGUCAAGCACUAGUACAUGCUGCAUUCUAGUGCAUGCAUUCCAGUGGGAUAUGCAUUCCAGUGCAUGCAUAGUCUGGCAAAUUGCAUUCGAACCGUGUAUGACAUAUCGAACGAUAGAAACAAAUUGCACUGACGUGGACAUAGAAGGAGGCCUUGGCAGA
This is a non-coding RNA of Oryza sativa Japonica Group (Japanese rice), 2208 nucleotides long. The record is from RefSeq and is a predicted model, not a curated record. Lineage: Eukaryota; Viridiplantae; Streptophyta; Magnoliopsida; Poales; Poaceae.